ACCAUGCAGUCGACGGCGCGCGGGGCACCUGGCGGCGAGUGGCGAACGGGUGAGUAAUAUAUCGGAACGUACCCUGGAGUGGGGGAUAACGUAGCGAAAGUUACGCUAAUACCGCAUACGAUCUAAGGAUGAAAGUGGGGGAUCCCAAGACCUCAUGCUCCUGGAGCGGCCGAUAUCUGAUUAUCUAGUUGGUGGGGUAAAGGCCUACCAAGGCGUCUAUAACUAGCUGGGCUCAGAGGAGAACAACCCACACUCUAACUCAGACACGCUCCCCACUCCUCCAGGAGGCGGCACUGGGGAAUUUUGUACAAUGGGCGAAAGCCUGAUCCUCCAAUGCCCCGUGAGUGAAAAAAGCGUUCUGGUUGUAAAGCUCUUUUGUCAGGGAAAAAACGGUGGGUUCUAAUACAGCCUGCUAAUGACGGUACCUGAAGAAAAUACACCGGCUAACUACGUGCCAGCAGCCGCGCUAAUACGUAGGGUGCGAGCGUUAAUCGCAAUUACUGGGCGUAAAGCGUGCGCAGGCGGUUUUGUAAGUCUGUCGUGAAAUCCCCGGGCUCUACCUGGGAAUGGCGAUGGAGACUGUGAGGCUAGAGUUUGUCAGAGAGGGGUAGAAUUCUUCGUGUAUCAGUGAAAUGCGUAGAUAUGUGGAGGAACACCGAUGGCGAAAGCAGCCCCCUGUGUCAAGACUGACGCUCAUGCACGAAAGCGUGGGGAGCAAACAGGAUUAGAUACCCUGGUAGUCCACGCCCUAAAAAUGUCUACUAGUUGUCGGGUCUUAUUGACUUGGUACGCACCUAACGCGUGAAUAUACCCCUGGGGAGAAGUCGCAGAUAUAACUCACGGAUUGACUGGGACCGCACAACGGGGAUGAGUGUAUAAUUUAUGCACGCGAAAAACUUCCUACCCUGAGAGGCUCGAUCCCCAGAGAUAGGGAGUGUCGAAGAGA
This 946-nucleotide ribosomal RNA is filed under the name Rugamonas sp. UA-JF2904. Its description in RNAcentral is "bacterial SSU rRNA". It matches the Rfam family "Bacterial small subunit ribosomal RNA", at positions 50 to 1025 of the family's 1533-position model. The record is from RNAcentral. Lineage: Bacteria; Pseudomonadati; Pseudomonadota; Betaproteobacteria; Burkholderiales; Oxalobacteraceae.